This 428-nucleotide ribosomal RNA is filed under the name uncultured bacterium. RNAcentral describes it as "bacterial SSU rRNA". It matches the Rfam family "Bacterial small subunit ribosomal RNA", at positions 355 to 775 of the family's 1533-position model. The record is from RNAcentral.
UGGGGAAUUUUGGACAAUGGGGGCAACCCUGAUCCAGCCAUGCCGCGUGCGGGAAGAAGGCCUUCGGGUUGUAAACCGCUUUUAGUCGGGAAGAAAAGGCGUCGCCUAACAGGGGGCGCUGUUGACGGUACCGGCGGAAUAAGCACCGGCUAACUACGUGCCAGCAGCCGCGGUAAUACGUAGGGUGCGAGCGUUAAUCGGAAUUACUGGGCGUAAAGCGUGCGCAGGCGGUUCGUUAAGUUCGUUGUGAAAGUCCCGGGCUCAACCUGGGAAUGGCAAUGGAAACUGGCGGGCUCGAGUGUGGCAGAGGGGGGUGGAAUUCCACGUGUAGCAGUGAAAUGCGUAGAGAUGUGGAGGAACACCGAUGGCGAAGGCAACCCCCUGGGCUAACACUGACGCUCAGGCACGAAAGCGUGGGGAGCAAACAG